AUAUUUCCUUGCCUACAACCUCUCUGGAGAGCUCGCAGUGCAGGAUGACAACCUUGAUGACAAGGUUAGAAACUGGAGUCUUAUCAUCGGUAGGACUUUCCUUAAAUGAAGGUCUCAACCUCUAUCCUGAACAAGUGGGAUCUUGCAGAAUGGACUCAGGGGCCCGGGUUGGGCAAGGCUGAUCCGUGAAAGAGAGUCUAGAGGCAAAACUGAAGUCACAAACAGGCACAGACUGAUCAAGAUGUCUCAAAGAUGCCUUCAAAAAGGUAAGGCAUGAAGAGGCAAUCCAGGUAUAAGACCUUGGGAUGGCAUCAGAUUUGACUUCGAGGCUGGGA
This 335-nucleotide long non-coding RNA is filed under the name Homo sapiens (human). RNAcentral's name for it is "HSALNT0042023". The record is from RNAcentral. Lineage: Eukaryota; Metazoa; Chordata; Mammalia; Primates; Hominidae.